CGCGAGGCGUGCGCGAGUCAGCUGGGGCGGUUUGGCUUGCGCGCUUAGGCGAGGUGAUAAUCUUGUCACAGUUAAAAGUGCCACCACCAGGCAGCACAAAACAUCUGUGAAAAUACUGAUUGCUGAAUUUAAUUUCAAUUUUAUUCUCAAUUCAAAAUGUUUCUUAUAUCGAUAGAAACACCACCAGAAGAAAUACUAAGAGAACUAGUUUGCAUGCUAGGUACUUUAAAUGAUCUAAAGAAAGAUAUGCUUUCAGUCAAAGAAACGUGUAAGGAAAUAAGGGGAAACUAUAUUGAAACAAACAUCCUCAUGGAUAAGAUAUUGCUGGAAUCAGCAAAAAUGAGAAGUGAUAUAGUACAGCAAAUAGAAGAAACAAAAUGGAAGAAUAAGCUCAUGAUGUAAAACCUGUUGCUAACACUACAAGAAAAAGUGACCAACCUUGAAGACAAAUGCAAAUAAGCUUCAGAAUAAUUCAAGUAUAUCAGAGGGGACUGAAGAAGAAAAAUAUGUGAAUAACAUGAAAAAAACCUCAUAAGAAAAUUUUCCCUAAGUUACAGCCUGAAAUCAGAAAAAUAUUCACUCUCAACCAGAAGGAACAAGUUUCUAAGGCACAUUUUCAUCAGACUCUAAAAUCCAAGGCACAAUCUUCAAAGCCUCGAGAAGAAAUCCUGUCAAAAAAAACUGAUUUACCUUUUAUCACACUGAAGUUAAAACCAUAGAAAAAGUGAUGUUGAAACAGAAUAUAAAACCAAAACAUAGGGAUUUGGAUUCUAGAGUCAAACUUGAAGCAAACCUACACAUUUUUUUUGAAGGCAGAAGAAAAAUGUUUUAAAAAUUAAGCCUUCAAAGAAUUCUUUGAAAAAAGAAUAACUAUGAGCAAAAGGGAAUCAGGAUUCCCUUGGAUAGAUAAGUAGUUAAGAUAUUCAACAAAGCAUUCCUAAAGGAUGUUAAGGAUAGUUUCUAUUAUAAGAUAAAACUUAGAAAUAUCUUAAAAGAUGUAGAAUUUAACAUUGUAUUAAAAAAUAAACAUUCAUUAAACUAU
This is a long non-coding RNA of Antechinus flavipes (yellow-footed antechinus), 1042 nucleotides long. RefSeq lists it as uncharacterized. The record is from RefSeq and is a predicted model, not a curated record. NCBI's taxonomy places the organism in Eukaryota, Metazoa, Chordata, Mammalia, Dasyuromorphia, Dasyuridae. The transcript has 2 exons.